This 844-nucleotide long non-coding RNA is filed under the name Ailuropoda melanoleuca (giant panda). RNAcentral describes it as "lncRNA (ENSAMEG00000025489.1)". The record is from RNAcentral. Lineage: Eukaryota; Metazoa; Chordata; Mammalia; Carnivora; Ursidae.
CUUGAGAGAAAAUUUUCUAAAUCUCUUUACUCUUUUUGUUUGCAGCCUAGGUUGGAGAUCUCAGUUCACUGACCUAUAGGGUCCUCCGGUAGUUUAAAGAAACGCCCUGCUUACCAUUAAGGCAUAGCGAGAGUCAGGAAGAAUGAAGAUCCAAUAUAAAGAAGAGGCAUGGUUAUCUCUGACUGGAGCCAGUGGGAGAGGUUCGACGUACUGCGUGGAUUUGACAAGAUGCAGCAUCAUUGUCUACGUGCGGAAGCACAGUGUCUGGGCUGCACCAGCCGUGGCCUGGCUGGAUAGAGCCCUGGCACUUGGAGGGACUUCUCACACCCCAGGGCCUAGGCCUACAGUGUAGUGUAUACAUUUUCUUUUAAUACUGCUUCUUGGUAAUGUGGUAGUCUCAGGAAAACAGAGACAUCUGUAGAUUGUGGGUACAGUAAGGAUGCCUGUGGAUUGUGCCUUUUCCUUUUCUGGAAUGCUAUGAACUUAGGAGCGUCUAUAUUAAGAAGAGCUAGUGUAUUACCUGAACACCCCUAUGGUAAGUCCAGCUUCACUCCAAAAGAUGGGAAGCGUGACGGGUAAUGUUCACAUGACGUUUCAACAUACUAGGUUUGGACUAGCCAAGAGAGCCUGCCACCUAUGAGUUUCCUUCCAUUUCAACUGUUUAAAAAUAAAAUUUCAGACAUUCUUUCAUUUUAUUAAUGAAAUGCUGUGCUUCAAACUGAGGGGCCUGUCUGCCAGGUGGAGCUAUAAUUAUGCCUGGGCAGUCUGCAGCUGUGCUUAGUUAUAGAGUUUUAACUAAAGAAAAUAGAAUGUGAGUUGCUUUUAUGCAUCUCAUAAUAUUUCC